CAGCAGCCACGGUAAUACGUAGGGUGCAAGCGUUAAUCGGAAUUACUGGGCGUAAAGCGUGCGCAGGCGGUCCGCUAAGACAGAUGUGAAAUCCCCGGGCUUAACCUGGGAACUGCAUUUGUGACUGGCGGGCUAGAGUAUGGCAGAGGGGGGUAGAAUUCCACGUGUAGCAGUGAAAUGCGUAGAGAUGUGGAGGAAUACCGAUGGCGAAGGCAGCCCCCUGGGCCAAUACUGACGCUCAUGCACGAAAGCGUGGGGAGCAAACAGGAUUAGAUACCCGCGUAGUCCCUGUCUCUUAUAA
RNAcentral lists this ribosomal RNA (301 nucleotides) under uncultured bacterium. Its description in RNAcentral is "partial 16S ribosomal RNA". It matches the Rfam family "Bacterial small subunit ribosomal RNA", at positions 509 to 809 of the family's 1533-position model. The record is from RNAcentral.